RNAcentral lists this unclassified non-coding RNA (211 nucleotides) under uncultured fungus. Its description in RNAcentral is "partial contains 18S rRNA, ITS1 and 5.8S rRNA". The record is from RNAcentral. Lineage: Eukaryota; Fungi.
AGGUGAACCUGCGGAAGGGUCAUUCACAAUGAGUGUUUAAUGGCACUUUCAAUCCAUUACCCACCUUGUGUGCAUUGUCGGGAGGACUCUUUCUCUCUCGCGAGGGAAGGGGAACUCUUAUUUACAAACUCGUGUUCUUCAGUAUCUGUCUACUACUUUUGAGUAUAUAAAACUCGAAUACAACUUUCAACAACGGAUCUCUUGGCUCUCG